CCCAGAAAAAAACUUCAGUAGAAAAUUUCCUAAAGAUGCCUACUUAAGGAGGUCAAAUCUGCUGCCACACAUCACUUUUAUCUUUUGCUAAAAGUUAUAAUUUUUUUCUUUAAAAUUUCAAUUUUUUUACAUUUUAAUAUUUAAAAAUAUCAAACAAAUCAUUAGAUAAAAGCAAAAUUAACGUAUAGCAACAGAUCGUGGGCUCUUUACUAAAAUUUUCUUAUCUACUAUACGUGUUUAUUUUACCUCUAUUAAAAAAUUAUAAUCAUUCACUCUACAAUUUAUUUAUUUUUUUAUAAUUUAAGUAUUAAAAAAUACUCAACAAACUCUUAAAAAAUGUGCAUUUAAU
Molecule: long non-coding RNA, 349 nt
Filed under: Ananas comosus (pineapple)
Lineage: Eukaryota; Viridiplantae; Streptophyta; Magnoliopsida; Poales; Bromeliaceae
Description: long non-coding RNA (ACOM_LNC006731)
Source: RNAcentral